UCUCAGGAGGUAGGUCAUGUUGUCUGGUAUUCCCAUCUCAUUAAGAAUAUUCCACAGUUUGUUGUGAUCCACACAGUCAAAGGCUUUAGCAUAGUCAAUGAAGAAGAAGUAGAUUUUUUUUUUUUAAUUCCCUUGCUUUUUCUAUGAUCCAGCAUAUAUUGGCAAUUUGAUCUUUGGUUCUUCUGCCUUUUCUUCUCUUUUUUUUUUCUGAUGCUUUUCAUUAUCACAGAACAUGCCAACUGUAAUGUGUGCAAAGAGGUAAAGAUGGGUGGAGGGAAAGGAAGUCAAAUUGGGGAAGGCUGGAUGACUGCUUCGCUUCUUCUUAUUAUUCUUCCCAUUCAUAGCCAGGAUCAUCAUGAACUUUCUGAAGAGAGUUACAAAAUCUAAGAGGUCAACACAAUGCCAGAUAUAAUCUUUAUCUCCAUUUUCAGCCUUUUCAAUAAUGAGUUGAGUAUCAAAAAGGACAAAGCCACACAUGACCACCAGCCCCACAUACAGGCUUGCCUGGAAAAGCCAAAUAGAUCCGAAGAAUAGGUUCCCCAGGAAAGACAAGAGCAUCAGGCUCAUGGCUGACAUCAAGAUACCUCCUAGAAAGAAGUAGUUAUGGCACCUGGCACAGAGUGCACUCAGGGUGAAGCAAGUGAAGAUCAUUGCUGGGACCAUGAAGGCAGUGAGAAGGAUGCUGGGGUUGAUGGCAGUGCACAAGUCCAGAGCAAGGCCCAGGCCAACUCCUGUAAGGAAAGCAAAUCCAGCCAGAAGUCCCAGUCUUUUUUUGCUUAUAUUCAUGGCUGUGAGGUGUUGCCAUCAGCCGAAUCAUCAACCCCAGAGAGCCCAAGGCAGAGAGCAGGCCAGCCUGAAUGAAAUGGGUGACCACAUGGACAUAGGCCCCUGCAGCCACCACAAACAUACAGAGGACAAAACUGGCAGAGACCUUCUUCAGGUGCUGCUGUGUCGAGGGGGUUAUGUGGGAAAAUUUAAAGAGUGCAUCAAAGUUGAUCUUCCGAUCAAAUUUAUGCAUGAUGCUAGUGUCUGUGGGAUACAGCCUCCACUCUUCUGACCCACCUCUCAGGAGCCCAUACAGCUCUUCUAACACUGGAUGUGCUUCUCCUCUGCCUUUUCUAAAUCCAGCUGUACAUUUGGAAGUUCUCGGUUCUUGUACUGCUGAAACCUAGCUUGAAGGAUUUUGAGCGUAAUCUUGCUGGCAUGUGAAAUGAGUGCAAUUGUAUGGUAAUUUGAACAUUCUUUGGCCUUGCUUUUCUUUGGGAUUAAAAUGAAAACUGACCCUUUCCAGUCCUGUGGCCACUGAUGAGUUUUCCAAAUUUGCUGGUAUAAUAAGUGCAGCACUUUAACAGCAUCAUCUUAUACCUGUCUAAAUUUAU
This 1379-nucleotide long non-coding RNA is filed under the name Bos indicus x Bos taurus (hybrid cattle). Its description in RNAcentral is "lncRNA (ENSBIXG00005031325.1)". Lineage: Eukaryota; Metazoa; Chordata; Mammalia; Artiodactyla; Bovidae. The record is from RNAcentral.